RNAcentral lists this long non-coding RNA (1741 nucleotides) under Oncorhynchus mykiss (rainbow trout). Its description in RNAcentral is "lncRNA (ENSOMYG00000076926.1)". Lineage: Eukaryota; Metazoa; Chordata; Actinopteri; Salmoniformes; Salmonidae. The record is from RNAcentral.
CUUGUGGUUAUUUUACGUUAGUGGUGUUCGCUGUCCGGUAUCUUGGUAACAGUGGGUUUGGGUUUUCGCUGUCCGGUAUUUUGGUAACAGUGGGUUUUCGCUGUCCGGUAUUUUGGUAACAGUGGGUUUUCGCUGUCCGGUAUCUUGGUAACAGUGGGUUUUCGCUGUCCGGUAUUUUGGUAACAGUGGGUUUUCGCUGUCCGGUAUUUUGGUAACAGUGGGUUUUCGCUGUCCGGUAUCUUGGUAACAGUGGGUUUUCGCUGUCCGGUAUUUUGGUAACAGUGGGUUUUCACUGUCCGGUAUCUUGGUAACCGUGGGUUUUCGCUGUCCGGUAUCUUGGUAACAGUGAGUUUGGGUUUUCGCUUGGGUUUUCGCUGUCCGGUAUCUUGGUAACAGUGGUUUUGGGUUUUCGCUGUCCGGUAUCUUGGUAACAGUGGGUUUGGGUUUUCGCUGUCCGGUAUCUUGGUAACAGUGGUUUUGGGUUUUCGCUGUCCGGUAUCUUGGUAACAGUGGGUUGGGGUUUUCGCUGUCCGGUAUCUUGGUAACAGUGGGUUUGGGUUUUCGCUGUCCGGUAUCUUGGUAACAGUGGGUUGGGGUUUUCGCUGUCCGGUAUCUUGGUAACAGUGGGUUUGGGUUUUCGCUGUCCGGUAUCUUGGUAACAGUGGGUUUGGGUUUUCGCUGUCCGGUAUCUUGGUAACAGUGGUUUUGGGUUUUCGCUGUCCGGUAUCUUGGUAACAGUGGGUUUGGGUUUUCGCUGUCCGGUAUCUUGGUAACAGUGGUUUUGGGUUUUCGCUGUCCGGUAUCUUGGUAACAGUGGUUUUGGGUUUUCGCUGUCCGGUAUCUUGGUAACAGUGGGUUUGGGUUUUCGCUGUCCGGUAUCUUGGUAACAGUGGUUUUGGGUUUUCACUGUCCGGUAUCUUGGUAACAGGGGGUUUUCGCUGUCCGGUAUCUUGGUAACAGUGGUUUUGGGUUUUCGCUGUCCGGUAUCUUGGUAACAGUGGUUUUGGGUUUUCGCUGUCCGGUAUCUUGGUAACAGUGGUUUUGGGUUUUCGCUGUCCGGUAUCUUGAUAACAGUGGGUUGGGGUUUUCGCUGUCCGGUAUCUUGGUAACAGUGGUUUUGGGUUUUCGCUGUCCGGUAUCUUGGUAACAGUGGGUUUGGGUUUUCGCUGUCCGGUAUCUUGGUAACAGUGGUUUUGGGUUUUCGCUGUCCGGUAUCUUGGUAACAGUGGUUUUGGGUUUUCGCUGUCCGGUAUCUUGGUAACAGUGGGUUUGGGUUUUUGCUGUCCGGUAUCUUGGUAACAGUGGGUUUGGGUUUUCGCUGUCCGGUAUCUUGGUAACAGUGGGUUUGGGUUUUCGCUGUCCGGUAUCUUGGUAACAGUGGGUUUGGGUUUUCGCUGUCCGGUAUCUUGGUAACAGUGGGUUUGGGUUUUCGCUGUCCGGUAUCUUGGUAACAGUGGGUUUGGGUUUUCGCUGUCCGGUAUCUUGGUAACAGUGGGUUUGGGUUUUCGCUGUCCGGUAUUUUGGUAACAGUGGGUUUGGGUUUUCGCUGUCCGGUAUCUUGGUAACAGUGGGUUUGGGUUUUCGCUGUCCGGUAUCUUGGUAACAGUGGGUUUGGGUUUUCACUGUCCGGUAUCUUGGUAACAGUGGGUUUGGGUUUUCGCUGUCCGGUAUCUUGGUAACAGUGGGUUUGGGUUUUCGCUGUCCGGUAUCUUGGUAACAGUGGGUUUGCGUUUUGUUGCAC